Caretta caretta (loggerhead turtle) is the source of this 2707-nucleotide non-coding RNA. NCBI's taxonomy places the organism in Eukaryota, Metazoa, Chordata, Testudines, Cheloniidae. The record is from RefSeq and is a predicted model, not a curated record.
GUGAUUAUAUGCUCUCUCCCUGCAUAUAGUUAUAUCAAUACUUGUGCAUUUCCUCUUCUAUUCAGCGGUGUCAUAUUCGCCUGUUAAACAUCCAUUGCCUUUCACCACAGAGGUGUCUGCAUUUCAGAGGAGAAACGGAAGAUGGGAAGGCUGGAGGACCACCGAUCAGAGGGCAGGACUGUGUGAGACGCCUAGCUGAACGAUCCUGGGAAAGUAGAGACCUUGAUGUCCCAAUUCCAUGGUCCCUGCACAGGUCUGACUCUGCAGUGCAGGCCUGACUGUAACAGCACCGGCUCUUCCAGACACCGAUAAUCCUACUGCAUUGUGUCAAAUAUAAUACGCCUGAAGUUCCAGCAACUGGGGGACAAGAAUCAUCAUUGGAUAUGUUCUUAGCUUCUUGAGAAUUGCACCACUUGGCACUCGAGAGAGCCCAUGUUUCCCCAUGAAGAGGCCCUGGCUUUCUGCCCUCCUGAGUUUUGUUUCCAUAUUCUUCUCAGAAUGGCGCCAUGACUUACCGUCUGGUGCCUCUGGGAUCACUGCUCCUGAUGCAUUUUGCACUGGUCAUGAAAUUCCAACUGCCACCUUGAAAGCCUUACACACCAACGUUGGAGAUCGCUUCCUUCACCUCCCGGUUUUCUGGUCUACUAAACCUUUUCCUAGAUUCUCGAUGCCAGUUCCAACUCUAAAAGCCACUGCCCUAUACUGAUUGGGAGAUAAGCCUGAGACAAAACCCCUGGUUCAAAGAUCCUUAGAUUUUAGAAUAGUUUGGCCCCACGUCCAAACUUUACAGCUGGCCCUGUACAGGGCCAAACGCAACCCCCAGGUCUAAACAUUCCUGAGCCAUGGGAAAGCUCAGAUCCCAGAGUCAGCAUCACUGUUGGACUCUCUCAAGAGACUGGUCUGGCUUCUGUUCUUCACCAAGUGGGUGUUUUUCAAGCAUUGUUUGGGAUUUGCAGCUUUCUCUGCUGCUCCAAAUUGAGCUGCCCUAGGUAAGGAUUUCCUAGGUCUCCUCUACUAAAGCUAGGUUACGUGCCUGCUGCUACUUCACACAUUUCUGAGUGCUACAGUAUUCAACACAUUCAAAGCCAGCCCAAGUUCCCUCUGAAGUGAAAGAUGGUCAGGUUUUCUGUACAUGCUCUCCCUUCCCUCCCACUCGUCCUCUUUUCUGAAGUUUUCACUAUGAUUUUUUUCUCCAUUUCCCUCUUCUCCACUCAUUCCCCGGUGGCCCCGCGUUCUCCCCUUUAAGUCCCCCUCCUUCCUCUCCCCUUCCCCCCCCCCCCACAUGAUGGUAUUCUACAAGAGGGCAAGGGGCAGACAGAGCCAUUCUGUUGCCUUGUCCUCCCAGCAGUGGGGCUGGAGUGAGGUCCGGUGAGGACAACGCUAGCCUGGGAUAAAUACAUUUGACUGAGAGGUGCUCUGCUACGUGAUAAUAGGAGCCAUAUACCUCUAGAAUGAGGGGCAGUGGGUGAAUUUGGCCGAACAGUUGGGUCUCAUUACUCACUCUAUCUUGGGUUGCGAAAGAACAUUUUUUAACAUUGUUCUUUCACUGGUUUUGAUUUUUCUUUGCAUUUUGCUCCGUACGGAGGAUGAAACUAGACCAGUCAGUUUCAGCUGCUGUUUCCAGACAAUUUUUGCUUUUUAGCGAACCCUGCCGUGUUUGGGUUGGGAGCACCGCAGGGGGAAUGUUCAGGUCCACCCAAACCUUGGGGUUGAAAUGAAAAAGAAAAUGGGGGAAGCAUUUCAAUUUCACGCAGGUUUUGUGAAAGUCAGUUCAGUCCUCAGUGGCCGUACUUGAUAGCAGCUAUAGAAUCCAGCACAUGAUGGGGAGAAGGUGAUGGUGAUUCCCAGUUAGGGUAGCCUACAAACUAUAGCCUCAUUAGGGGGUGGGCUAUGAAUUGGGGCGUGUCUAGUCCCCAUGGUCAGCUGACAUUCACACGGCCAUGAGCAGCAAAAUACUAGCUCAUUGAUUUUUGGGUCUGCAUGUUUUUCCUGCUCAGAGGAUAAGCAAGGCAGACUUAAGGGCAUGUCCUCCUACUCGAAUCCUUUCCUGGUCAGGGCUUCUUGCCGCCAAAGACCCAAUGGGCAGAGUGUCUGCUCCCUUCGCCUUGCUGUCUUGUCUGGGGAAUGAUUGGGCUUUAAAUAUAUCUUUUUUUCAAGGCAAGUCAUGAACGGAGAUAUUUCCCCCCCUUUCUUUUGUUAAGGUGGACACAGCCACAAGGGCUGGAAAAUAAUGGACAGCAGAGGAGAGUUUUUAAGAAGACAUGAAAGUUAUUGUCUAUAGGCCUCGAUUCUCUCGCCACCCGCAGGCAGUUCUUGGAAUCUACCUCAAAAAUGCCAGUCACUGGAUUCUAAAGCUGCAAUAGCUUCUGUGUGUUGAGUCGAGUUUCUGAAACUUCAUAUCCUUCCUAACCAGCUGGAAAGAAAUUGCUCUAUUAGACAAACUCUGGUUCUGAGGGAAUGAACAAAUAGAGCUUCAGCUACCCUGCUGGCAUGUGGUGUAAAUACUUAAUUUGUGUUACAGUAUGUGACAAUACAUAUGAUCCGAUUUAAUCAUCUGGACUAGCCAAGGAUCCAGGCCUAGCAAACACAACUUAGAAACCAUUAAAUCACAUAGAAUUCAUUCAUACUUUAAAAUAAGCUUUAUUUUUUUUUAAUAUUUUUAUAUUUGCAUCCAUGCCUUCAAGGACUCUUCCCCACUCACGUGGGA